Molecule: ribosomal RNA, 385 nt
Filed under: Dietzia sp. EBKC92
Lineage: Bacteria; Bacillati; Actinomycetota; Actinomycetes; Mycobacteriales; Dietziaceae
Description: bacterial SSU rRNA
Rfam family: Bacterial small subunit ribosomal RNA
Source: RNAcentral
GGGACGAAGCGCAAGUGACGGUACCUGUAUAAAAAGCACCGGCUAACUACGUGCCAGCAGGGGACGAAGCGCAAGUGACGGUACAUGCAAAAAAAGAACAGGCUAACUACGUGCCAGCAGCCGCGGUAAUACGUAGGGUGCGAGCGUUGUCCGGAAUUACUGGGCGUAAAGAGCUCGUAGGCGGUUUGUCACGUCGUCUGUGAAAUCCCUCGGCUUAACCGGGGGCGUGCAGGCGAUACGGGCAGACUUGAGUACUACAGGGGAGACUGGAAUUCCUGGUGUAGCGGUGAAAUGCGCAGAUAUCAGGAGGAACACCGGUGGCGAAGGCGGGUCUCUGGGUAGUAACUGACGCUGAGGAGCGAAAGCAUGGGUAGCGAACAGGAUU